This is a long non-coding RNA of Octopus sinensis (East Asian common octopus), 763 nucleotides long. RefSeq lists it as uncharacterized. The transcript is spliced from 2 exons. The record is from RefSeq and is a predicted model, not a curated record. NCBI's taxonomy places the organism in Eukaryota, Metazoa, Mollusca, Cephalopoda, Octopoda, Octopodidae.
UUGAAGGCGACACUCUACUAAACACUACUUGCCAUAACCGACUUGUUUGCAGAAUGCAGUCGGGACGUGAAGAUAAUUUGGAAGUGGUUUGAGCUUGUCUGGCAAAGUUGGUAGCUAGAAGCUUAGUGGGACAAAGAGAAAUCCCUGUAAAAAGGUCGGGUCAACAAACAUCUAACAUUUGCACCGAGACAAGAAAUACUUGUAAUUAGCAACGGACGCGCCGCAAGACCAUAUAAGAGUGAGAUACUGCUUGUUCAUGUUAGAACAUGUUAGAAAGAUUCUAUGAUGUGGAACUUGAGAAUAUUUCCGCUUUUUGUCACCCGAGACUGGCCAGCAGGAGUAAAGCUGUUCUACCCGAAAAAGAGUGGGGUUUUGUGCACGAUUCACAGAUUAUAAUCAAUUUCACGUUCUUAGAAAAAACUUUAUGGGGAAAAUAUUUUGCAGCGAUGAGCACUAAUGGAACAUACAGGAUUGACCAGCUGGAACUUUGAACAGUUGAAAAUUACUCAACUCACCAACCAUGGAGAACAAAUCUGAAUGAUAGACGCUGGAUUCUUUGUUCGAUAAUUCGAUUUCAUCGUUGUACAAGACACGUGCCACGGCUAGACCGAAAUAGGCACCGAAUGUAUGGAUGUACAUAGAUUCCCCAACGUCAUAAGCCUGGAAGAAAAAAGACAUUAUCGAUAACAGAAAGCUGCAAAACAACUACAAAAAACAACAACACAAUGAAACGGCAAUGUAUGGUCAAUAGAAACAAGCACAA